GACCUGAUGAGGAGUCCCACAAUAGGAUGAAACAGCUGUCCAGUGC
RNAcentral lists this non-coding RNA (46 nucleotides) under Schistosoma mattheei. Lineage: Eukaryota; Metazoa; Platyhelminthes; Trematoda; Strigeidida; Schistosomatidae. The record is from RNAcentral.